CUAGAGGCCGUUAAGGCUCUACAGGCGGGGAGGGAGGGACAGGCAGGCAGUUGUUUUCUGAGUCAUUCUGUCGUCUCUCCUAGAGCUACGUCCUACUGCAGGGAACGUGAGGCCCACCUGCUCUCAGGUCCCCCUCCUUAGAGGCACCGGACCAACAAACUGCCUCAGUGCUGCUGGGAAGUUCAGCCAGCCAUCUCCUUCCACCAUCCUCCUGGCACACAGCAUGCACCAUCUUAGUUCCCGACCAGGGACUGAAUCUUUGCCCGCUGAAAUGGAAGCUCGGAAUCCUAAUCUUGGACCGCCAGGGAAUUACUGUAAAUAUUAUUUUAAAAAACAGGGAACUAAAUAAAUAUUGAACACUAGUUAAUGAAAUA
Mesoplodon densirostris (Blainville's beaked whale) is the source of this 374-nucleotide long non-coding RNA. RefSeq lists it as uncharacterized. The transcript is spliced from 3 exons. NCBI's taxonomy places the organism in Eukaryota, Metazoa, Chordata, Mammalia, Artiodactyla, Ziphiidae. The record is from RefSeq and is a predicted model, not a curated record.